RNAcentral lists this ribosomal RNA (135 nucleotides) under uncultured bacterium. Its description in RNAcentral is "partial 16S ribosomal RNA". The record is from RNAcentral.
CCCGAGGUAUUAACCCAGACCGUUUCGUUCCGUACAAAAGCAGUUUACAACCCGAAGGCCUUCUUCCUGCACGCGGCAUUGCUGGAUCAGGCUUGCGCCCAUUGUCCAAAAUUCCCCACUGCUGCCUCCCGUAGG